GAGCGAGCGUCUCUCCAUGCUCAUCCUCUCCUGUUUCCAGUUUACUGCCCAGAAGCUCGAGCAGGUCCUGAGGCAGAGGAAGGGAUUCAGCCCCGAGGGUUUUACUGCCAAGGGCGGUGUCGGCGGAGCUGGAGCGGUUGGUGCAGAGGCUGAGCCAGGAUGGGACCCUCCGGGACUGUGUGGAGGAUCCCAAGGGGAAUUCCCUGGACUCGGCUCUGGAUGAACCCGUG
Lepidothrix coronata (blue-crowned manakin) is the source of this 230-nucleotide long non-coding RNA. RefSeq lists it as uncharacterized. The record is from RefSeq and is a predicted model, not a curated record. The transcript has 4 exons. Lineage: Eukaryota; Metazoa; Chordata; Aves; Passeriformes; Pipridae.